UGGGGAAUAUUGCACAAUGGGCGCAAGCCUGAUGCAGCAACGCCGCGUGAGGGACGACGGCCUUCGGGUUGUAAACCUCUUUUAGUAGGGAAGAAGCGAAGUGUUUUACAUGGAGUGACGGUACCUGCAGAAAAAGCACCGGCUAACUACGUGCCAGCAGCCGCGGUAAUACGUAGGGUGCAAGCGUUAUCCGGAAUUAUUGGGCGUAAAGAGCUCGUAGGCGGUCUGUCGCGUCUGCUGUGAAAUCUGGGGGCUCAACCCCCAGCCUGCAGUGGGUACGGGCAGACUAGAGUGCGGUAGGGGAGAUUGGAAUUCCUGGUGUAGCGGUGGAAUGCGCAGAUAUCAGGAGGAACACCGAUGGCGAAGGCAGAUCUCUGGGCCGUAACUGACGCUGAGGAGCGAAAGCAUGGGGAGCGAACA
This 420-nucleotide ribosomal RNA is filed under the name uncultured Microbacteriaceae bacterium. RNAcentral's name for it is "bacterial SSU rRNA". It matches the Rfam family "Bacterial small subunit ribosomal RNA", at positions 355 to 774 of the family's 1533-position model. The record is from RNAcentral. Lineage: Bacteria; Bacillati; Actinomycetota; Actinomycetes; Micrococcales; Microbacteriaceae.